CGUGUAGGCGGCUGGAUCAGUCAGAUGUGAAAUCCCUGGGCUUAACCCAGGACGUGCAUUUGAAACUGUCCGGCUGGAGUAGGGGAGAGGAAAGGUGGAAUUCCUGGUGUAGAGGUGAAAUUCGUAGAUAUCAGGAGGAACACCGGUGGCGAAGGCGACUUUCUGGCCCUAUACUGACGCUGAGACGCGAGAGCGUGGGUAGCAAACA
Molecule: ribosomal RNA, 208 nt
Filed under: uncultured Syntrophaceae bacterium
Lineage: Bacteria; Pseudomonadati; Thermodesulfobacteriota; Syntrophia; Syntrophales; Syntrophaceae
Description: partial 16S ribosomal RNA
Rfam family: Bacterial small subunit ribosomal RNA
Source: RNAcentral